Urocitellus parryii (Arctic ground squirrel) is the source of this 107-nucleotide small nuclear RNA. Lineage: Eukaryota; Metazoa; Chordata; Mammalia; Rodentia; Sciuridae. The record is from Ensembl.
GUGCUCACUUUGACAGCACAUAUAUUAAAAUUGGAAUGAUACAGAGAAGAUUAGCAUGGCCUCUGCUCAAGGAUGACACGCAAAUUCAUGAAGCAUAAUAUAUUUAA